UCGAGGGGUAUAGAUUUUCGGACCUAGAGACCGGCGCACGGGUGCGUAACGCGUAUGCAAUCUACCUUUCACAGAGGGAUAGCCCAGAGAAAUUUGGAUUAAUACCUCAUAGUAUAACGACUCGGCAUCGAGAUGUUAUUAAAGUCACAACGGUGAAAGAUGAGCAUGCGUCCCAUUAGCUUGUUGGUAAGGUAACGGCUUACCAAGGCUACGAUGGGUAGGGGUCCUGAGAGGGAGAUCCCCCACACUGGUACUGAGACACGGACCAGACUCCUACGGGAGGCAGCAGUGAGGAAUAUUGGUCAAUGGACGCAAGUCUGAACCAGCCAUGCCGCGUGCAGGAUGACGGUCCUAUGGAUUGUAAACUGCUUUUGUACAGGAAGAAACAGUUCUACGUGUAGAACCUUGACGGUACUGUAAGAAUAAGGAUCGGCUAACUCCGUGCCAGCAGCCGCGGUAAUACGGAGGAUCCAAGCGUUAUCCGGAAUCAUUGGGUUUAAAGGGUCCGUAGGCGGUUUAGUAAGUCAGUGGUGAAAGCCCAUCGCUCAACGGUGGAACGGCCAUUGAUACUGCUAAACUUGAAUUAUUAGGAAGUAACUAGAAUAUGUAGUGUAGCGGUGAAAUGCUUAGAGAUUACAUGGAAUACCAAUUGCGAAGGCAGGUUACUACUAAUGGAUUGACGCUGAUGGAC
Molecule: ribosomal RNA, 691 nt
Filed under: uncultured Bacteroidota bacterium
Lineage: Bacteria; Pseudomonadati; Bacteroidota
Description: bacterial SSU rRNA
Rfam family: Bacterial small subunit ribosomal RNA
Source: RNAcentral